GUGGGGAAUAUUGGACAAUGGGCGCAAGCCUGAUCCAGCAAUGCCGCGUGGGUGAAGAAGGCCUUCGGGUUGUAAAGUUCUUUAGCCGAUGAUUAUAAUGACUGUAGUCGGAAAAUAAGCCCCGGCUAACUUCGUGCCAGCAGCCGCGGUAAUACGAAGGGGGCGAGCGUUAUUCGGAAUCACUGGGCGUAAAGCGUGCGUAGGCGGUCUCGUAAGUUAGGAGUGAAAGCCCAGGGCUCAACCUUGGAAUUGCUCUUAAUACUGCAAGGCUAGAAUCUCGGAGAGGAUAGCGGAAUUUCCAGUGUAGCAGUGAAAUGCGUAGAUAUUGGAAGGAACACCAGUGGCGUAAGCGGCUAUCUGGACGAGUAUUGACGCUGAGGCACGAAAGCGUGGGGAUCAAACAGGAUUAGAAACCCUGGUAGUCC
Molecule: ribosomal RNA, 425 nt
Filed under: uncultured bacterium
Lineage: Bacteria
Description: partial 16S ribosomal RNA
Rfam family: Bacterial small subunit ribosomal RNA
Source: RNAcentral